ACUCCUACGGGAGGCAGCAGUGGGGAAUAUUGCACAAUGGGCGCAAGCCUGAUGCAGCCAUGCCGCGUGUAUGAAGAAGGCCUUCGGGUUGUAAAGUACUUUCAGCAGUGAGGAAGGUGGGUAUGUUAAUAGCAUAUUCAUUUGACGUUAGCUGCAGAAGAAGCACCGGCUAACUCCGUGCCAGCAGCCGCGGUAAUACGGAGGGUGCGAGCGUUAAUCGGAAUUACUGGGCGUAAAGCGCAUGCAGGUGGUUUGUUAAGUCAGAUGUGAAAGCCCGGGGCUCAACCUCGGAAUUGCAUUUGAAACUGGCAAACUAGAGUACUGUAGAGGGGGGUAGAAUUUCAGGUGUAGCGGUGAAAUGCGUAGAGAUCUGAAGGAAUACCGGUGGCGAAGGCGGCCCCCUGGACAGAUACUGACACUCAGAUGCGAAAGCGUGGGGAGCAAACAGGAUUAGAUACCCUGGUAGGCUCAGC
RNAcentral lists this ribosomal RNA (473 nucleotides) under uncultured bacterium. Its description in RNAcentral is "bacterial SSU rRNA". It matches the Rfam family "Bacterial small subunit ribosomal RNA", at positions 335 to 800 of the family's 1533-position model. The record is from RNAcentral.